Molecule: non-coding RNA, 118 nt
Filed under: Synergistes jonesii
Lineage: Bacteria; Thermotogati; Synergistota; Synergistia; Synergistales; Synergistaceae
Description: MoCo sequence
Rfam family: Molybdenum/Tungsten riboswitch aptamer (Moco RNA motif)
Source: Rfam by way of RNAcentral
AAAAGAUUAAAUCCCCGAGUCAAAGCCCCUGCGAAUUUUAUUCAUGGGACAAGACCAAUGGGUGUCUUUGGAAACGGAGGCGCCUCCCGUUUUGGAAAGGGGAAGGGUUGGCAGGCCG